AAAAUUGAUCCGUGUUUAGGUGGCUUCAAGCCAAAAAGGGAACCCCGUGAGAGUCGGGGACGGCCACGCCGCUGUAAUCGGGGACGAAACUUGCCAGACCCACUAUCCUUAUGAUCCCGCGUUUCGCGGGACUCAGGAUGGGAAGGGGCAAGAAGUAGGAUGAUCCGAAAGCCAGAAAACCUGCCUGAAUGCGCUUCACAAU
RNAcentral lists this non-coding RNA (202 nucleotides) under Deltaproteobacteria bacterium. Lineage: Bacteria; Pseudomonadati; Myxococcota; Myxococcia. The record is from RNAcentral.